RNAcentral lists this ribosomal RNA (439 nucleotides) under uncultured bacterium. RNAcentral describes it as "partial 16S ribosomal RNA". It matches the Rfam family "Bacterial small subunit ribosomal RNA", at positions 339 to 795 of the family's 1533-position model. The record is from RNAcentral.
CUACGGGUGGCUCCAGUGAGGAAUAUUGCACAAUGGGGGGAACCCUGAUGCAGCAACGCCGCGUGGAGGAUGACGCAUUUCGGUGUGUAAACUCCUUUUAUCAAGGAAGAAAAUGACGGUACUUGAUGAAUAAGCACCGGCUAACUCCGUGCCAGCAGCCGCGGUAAUACGGAGGGUGCAAGCGUUACUCGGAAUCACUGGGCGUAAAGGACGCGUAGGCUGACUUUUAAGUCAGGUGUGAAAUCCUAUGGCUUAACCAUAGAACUGCACUUGAAACUGGGAGUCUAGAGUAUGGAAGGGGCAGAUGGAAUUAGUGGUGUAGGGGUAAAAUCCGUAGAUAUCACUAGGAAUACCUAAAGCGAAGGCGAUCUCCUGGAACAUUACUGACGCUAAGGCGUGAAAGCGUGGGGAGCAAACAGGAUUAGAUACCCGCGUAGUC